RNAcentral lists this ribosomal RNA (400 nucleotides) under uncultured bacterium. RNAcentral's name for it is "bacterial SSU rRNA". It matches the Rfam family "Bacterial small subunit ribosomal RNA", at positions 357 to 774 of the family's 1533-position model. The record is from RNAcentral.
GGGAAUAUUGGACAAUGGGCGCAAGCCUGAUCCAGCAAUGCCGCGUGGGUGAAGAAGGUCUUCGGAUUGUAAAGCCCUUUCGACGGGGACGAUGAUGACGGUACCCGUAGAAGAAGCCCCGGCUAACUUCGUGCCAGCAGCCGCGGUAAUACGAAGGGGGCUAGCGUUGCUCGGAAUGACUGGGCGUAAAGGGCGCGUAGGCGGUUUAUUUAGUUAGGCGUGAAAUUCCCGGGCUCAACCUGGGGACUGCGUUUAAUACAGGUAGACUUGAGUUCGGAAGAGGGUCGUGGAAUUCCCAGUGUAGAGGUGAAAUUCGUAGAUAUUGGGAAGAACACCGGUGGCGAAGGCGGCGACCUGGUCCGAUACUGACGCUGAGGCGCGAAAGCGUGGGGAGCAAACA